AUACACAAAUAUACACAAAUUGAUCAGCAUGGAUGUGUAACUGAUACAUAUGUGUACCUCACACUCCAUAUAUUAUACUAUACCUUAUAUCUUACAAUAUGAUCUCUAAUAAAUGUGCAUAAGUUGGUCCUUGUUUUCCUAUCUCCUGCCAUCAUGGGUGCUAGAGUGCACAUUCAGGAAGUGCCCCACCCAUCUGAAACAUGCAGAAAUUUUUCGUGGCACCUAUAUACUGUAGCUGAGGGUCUGACUGGGACUCCGUGCUAUAAGAGCCCCAUUGUUCAAUCCAGAGAGAGGCGAACUGGGCUGCUGCCUAAAACCACAUGGAAACGCGCACACACAAGUGCCAGUGUUAUGUGCCUCACAUUACUUAACUGACCAAAUCUAGGUAGGUACCACGUAGGUACAGAGAGAGUGGGACAGCGAAAUGAAUGAGCUGGUUAUGACGUGUUACCAGUGAGGAUUAGCAUAAUAACGGUAAUAAUUGUAGCGUGUUAUUGAUUGUACACUGGCAUGUACACUGUUACCUGACAACUUUCACAAAAACAUCAUUACAGAGAUGCUCGAUCUCACGCAUGUCAGAAAGCUUACUGAGGCACAAAACACAUUGAGAUAUCAAUUUUCACUUUUUAAUCGAAACAGUAUGAACAUCCAAAAAGAAAAAGAAAAAAACACUGCAAUUAAAUAAAAUGACUUAGACAGCAGACAGUAAAGUGAGGACCUGGCGUAUAGAGUAAGCAUAAAAAAAAGGCAUCGUUGCAAACUGUUGCAGUGUCUCAAACCAUUUUACAUUAAACAUUUUUUGUCAGUCAGUGCACAUAUUAAAGCAAGCACAGCAUAACACACACCCCUUAAUUACGCAGCAAAAAGAGUCACUUCUUGUCCAGUGAACCUGAGGUUAAAGCACAAGUCUGGUAGCCAGACCACAUGAUGUAAAAGGAUGAUGAGACCGAGUGUCUCUAAGCUUCUUAAAUGUUUUCCAGAUUGAACAGAAUUUCCAAAAAUGACCCUGGUUGAAAAACUUUAAGCAGUAUUCACACUGGCGUUAUGCUGUGGAGCAAAGUAAAUAUGAUUUAAUUACUGCUGAAAAGGGAGGCUGUUAAAAACAACCACGUCAAUUUGAAUUCACAUUAAUGAACUGCAAGAGUUGAACAUAGAAAUUACCCGAGCCAUUAGCCAUUCCAUUAAUGUCCUGUCAAAGUUUUAUAUGUCAGGAUUAAAGCUACUAGUUAAACCAAAAUAUGAAAGAUAUUAUGCAGGCCCAAUUUGUCCUGACAUCUGAUCUGCUUGGGAAUGUAUACAACAUGUUACAAUCUCUUUAUAAAAUGCCUAUAAUCUGGUUAUAAAAUGCUUUUUAUGUGUCAUACUACUGCAGCACAUUAAUGUUUGUCAUGCUACAUGGAAUUGAAUGUGGAUAUAGACUCAACUACUGCUGGUGUGUGUUCAAGCAUGCUUUCGAUACAUAGAAUGCAAUAAAAAAAAGAGAGAAAGUUAAAGGCUGGUGAGUUAUGGCCAUUUUUGGUGUUAUUUACAUAUGUACUAUUUCGCGUUUCUGUACUUUACCUCAUAUCUCCCCGUUAUUUUAAAAGAUAUUUUAGUUUGUUUUUUUUUAACUGGCUGUUAAUGUGUUUGCUCAUUAGGUCCACAUAACAACCCAGAUGUGUUGUAAGUAUAUGUGACACAUUCAAAUUCUUCCUCCUCCUUUACUUCCUGUCUGAAUCUUUGGCAGUGGUGGGGGUUAUGGGCAGGGUUUUUUGUUUGUUUGUUUGGGGGGGGGGGGGGGGGGGGGGUGUUAGGGUGAUGGGGGAAGUGUCCAAAUCAAUGGUUCUAGGGAUAGGGUAAGGCAGGAUGCUGCCCUAAUUGUCCUGGAUGAUUAGAGUGCUCCUGGCUUGCUUAUUUAAUGACAGGAAAUGACAUCAGUUCAGUAGUUCAGAAUUUCCAGAACCUCUUCUUUUUCUUCUUUUCUUCCUGUCUUGCCACCUUCCUUUUCAGGGGCUAAAAAGAGCAACAACAUCAGACAGACUUUAGUUUGAGCAAAUGACACACACCUACUAUCAACAAACACACACACACACACACACACACACACACACACACACACACACACACACACACACACACACGAACUUCCCCACAUCCCCUUACCUUGACAGAAUUAUGUGGGAAUUCAAGAUUAAUCGGGGUGGGAUGGGGGGGAGGGGUUGGGAAUAAGAGCAGGACAUGAUUACUGUAAAGUUUUGGACAUUGAUCAUCUAGGGUAAUUAAUGCUUUGAUAUCAAUGUUAUAUUAAUGUUGUUGGCAUUAAAUCCACAUUUAUCUUUGCUGUUGAAUUAUUGUUAGUAACACAAAUGUCUUGUAUAAGUUGAUGACACUUUAUGUUGCCACUCCAAGUGCCCUGGGUUUGCUCUCUCUCUCUCUCUCUCUCUCUCUCUCUCUCUCUCUCUCUCUCUCUCUCUCUCUCUUUACACAAAACAGGCUAAUGGCUGCAGUCUGGUGCAUAAUGACAUUCUAAUCACAGCACUUUUGGGGAACACAAUAUGUCUGCUAUUCAAGUGAUUAAAGUUGUGAGAACCCUGUUGUUAGGCAGCUGAUGAAAAUGGCUAACUAAUGACAAUUUACCUAGUUAGCACAUAGUCUUUACCAUAGGCUUGUUUGUAAUUUUUAAAAACAGACUACAUAUGACUAAGAUUAGACUGUAUCAAACAUUAGAUGUAGACAUACAGAAGUAGAAUACCACAAGUGCACUGUGUGUGUGUGUGUGUGUGUGUGUGUGUGUGUGUGUGUGUGUAUGCGCGUGCGUGUGUGUAUAAUCUUCUCAUAAUAGUGAAAAUGGUGUAGGGAACAUAGGAGUUGCAGCAUAGUGUUACAUCAUUUUAUCCGUAUUAGAAUUAUAAGUAGGUUAUAUUAAUAAAUAAUUGAUCAACGCUUGGUGAUAUUACAGAGAAUGAGAGGCCAUGUUGUUUUUGAGGCUUUUGUUUCUUUCCAGUCCUACAACACAGAAAAUCAUUUAGUGUUAGCAUGCAAAUUUUUCCUUCUCCUUGUUUUGGGAUUUUUGCUCCAUUUCCCCAAACUAUUUACUCUCAGUUCAAGAUUUAAGAUUCAAUUCCUAGCCACUAACAAGUUCUCCCAUAUAAAAUGACAGCUACCAGCCUGGGAGGGCAAAGGUUAACACAUGCUUCCUCUGCGACAUACUAUGUUAUCUACACAUAGGCUAAUAAUGGCUUGUAAAACUGUAAAGUUACUGUGUUAACUGUGUAAUGUCUGUCUGACUGAUAGGGGUUUUGAUAGUAAUGCAAAACAGUGUAUAUAAAUAACUUAAUCUGCUUAUUCAUAGACCCUGACUUAUUUGUACUAGCAUAAGGCUAAGUUUUGAUGAUGGCUGCAAAGCACUUCUAGAAGUCCCUCUAGAUAAGAGUCUCUGCUAAUGCCAUAAAUGUAAAUAUAUCCUAUUUAUGUCCUUUUGGACUCAAUUCAAAAUCAAAAUUCCAUGAUGGCUGAUAAACACUUAUAACCAUUGCACCACUUGCGAGUGCUAUUCAAUCCAAAUGUUAACACAGCAACCACAUGCAUUUUCCACAAAACAGUGAUGUAGCUGUUGUACUUACGAGUAUUGUCCCAUCCUCCUGACCACCACGACUAUCACUGCAAUGAUGAUGACCACAGCGACCAGUGCACCAAACACAAUGCCCACCACUUGACCCGUGCUCAUACCUACAGAGAGAAAGAAAGAGAGAGAGAGAUAGGGAGCAGGAGCAGCACACACACAGCUCUGAGAGACACUGGAAAAAAAGUCAAAGAGAAAGAGAGUGUGUGAGGAAGAGUGUGUGUGUUUAGAGGAUGGAAAUGGGGGUUGGGCACACGUGUUAGGUGGUCC
Ictalurus punctatus (channel catfish) is the source of this 3871-nucleotide long non-coding RNA. The record is from Ensembl. NCBI's taxonomy places the organism in Eukaryota, Metazoa, Chordata, Actinopteri, Siluriformes, Ictaluridae.